GAUGAACGCUGGCGGCGUGCCUAAUACAUGCAAGUCGAGCGAACAGACGAGGAGCUUGCUCCUCUGAUGUUAGCGGCGGACGGGUGAGUAACACGUGGAUAACCUACCUAUAAGACUGGGAUAACUUCGGGAAACCGGAGCUAAUACCGGAUAACAUGUCGAACCGCAUGGUUCAACAGUGAAAGACGGUUUUGCUGUCACUUAUAGAUGGAUCCGCACCGCAUUAGCUAGUUGGUAAGGUAACGGCUUACCAAGGCAACGAUGCGUAGCCGACCUGAGAGGGUGAUCGGCCACACUGGAACUGAGACACGGUCCAGACUCCUACGGGAGGCAGCAGUAGGGAAUCUUACGCAAAGGGCGAAAGCCUGACGGAGCAACGCCGCGUGAGUGAAGAAGGUCUUCGGAUCGUAAAACUCUGUUAUUAGGGAAGAACAAAUGUGUAAGUAACUAUGAACGUCUUGACGGUACCUAAUCAGAAAGCCACGGCUAACUACGUG
RNAcentral lists this ribosomal RNA (497 nucleotides) under uncultured bacterium. RNAcentral describes it as "partial 16S ribosomal RNA". It matches the Rfam family "Bacterial small subunit ribosomal RNA", at positions 28 to 507 of the family's 1533-position model. The record is from RNAcentral.